Molecule: ribosomal RNA, 253 nt
Filed under: uncultured bacterium
Lineage: Bacteria
Description: partial 16S ribosomal RNA
Rfam family: Bacterial small subunit ribosomal RNA
Source: RNAcentral
UACGUAGGGUGCAAGCGUUGUCCGGAAUUAUUGGGCGUAAAGAGCUCAUAGGCGGUUCGUCGCGUCGGCUGUGAAAACCUGAGGCUCAACCUCAGGCCUGCAGUCGAUACGGGCGGACUUGAGUACUGCAGGGGAGACUGGAAUUCCUGGUGUAGCGGUGAAAUGCGCAGAUAUCAGGAGGAACACCGGUGGCGAAGGCGGGUCUCUGGGCAGUAACUGACGCUGAGGAGCGAAAGCGUGGGGAGCGAACAGG